CUAGCAGUGGCUAGGUAAUUCAAAGGAAAUAUAAAAAUCUGAUGGUGGGCAGGUGGGGUGUAGUUUGCUCCUUACAAAUGUUGUUAUAGCUGUGUGUCUGACCUAGGAAGUUGUGGUGAACGUGCAGCAGGUGAAUUCAUUCAGAAUGUGCUGGUAUCAGCACUUGGAUCUGAGGAGGACACGUAGCUCAUAGAAUCACUGAAUGGUUUGGGUGGGAACAGACCUUAAAGACCAUCUGGUUCCACCCCCCUGCCAUGGACAGGGACAGCUUCCACUUGAGCAGGUUUCUCACAUGCCCACUUCCCACUCAGAGUUCCCAUAGUCCUCAAAUCUCUGCUCCAAAGUAAAAAACCUUUAUUUUUUAAGUAACUGACAUGCAGUGGGCUUGCUGAUAGCAUUUGAAGCCCCCCAGUGACUAUAUCUACCUCUCAGUGUUAAAGGUGACAAAAUGUGGGCAGGAGUUCACCUCAGAGGACUGAAACCUGGUGGUGAGGUGAGAGCUGUCCUAGCUGGUGGCUGUUUACUCAGCUGAAGCCCGUGGGUGAGCAUUUGUGUUUGUCAAAAGAAAUUCAUUGCUCAUUGUGUGCAUUCAGGAAGGAAUUCCUCCCUGUGAGGGUGGUGGGGCCCUGGCACAGGGUGCCCAGAGAAGCUGUGGCUGCCCCUGGAUCCCUGGAAAUGUCCAAGACCAGGGCUUGGAGCAGCCUGGGCUAGUGGAAGGUGGCCCUGCCCAUGGCAGUGGCUGCAAUGGGAUGAGCUUUAAGAUCCCUUCCAACCCACACCAUUCUGGGAUUCUGUGGAAGGUUUGAAGGUGGCAGUGUGGUUGGCACAUUAGAUUCCCUGUUUCUCUUUGCCAAAAAGAGUUAAAACUUCAUUAUUCUGCAACAAAAUGAAUCCUUGCAUAAAGCAGGAGGGUUCAGCUCACACAGUGGAGCUGUGUGGGCUCCUGCUGUGACCAGCUGAGAGGGUUCCAUGGCACAGACACCUUGCUGCAGGUGGGGAACACCUGAAGGUUAAAGCUUGUAAAGCUGGUGUGUAGCUCCUGGGAUAGACUUCCCUGAAAAACUCCAUUGUGUCCCUGAAUGAACACUCCUGUUGGCAGGAUGUGCAGUAGUGGCCAGUAGCAAUGUUUUUCUGAGCAGUUGUGUUUUUUCAGCCUGAAACAUUUACUAUAAAACAUGUUCCUUGGGGAGUCUCAGAGCUCUACAGGUGUUAUGCAUGUAGGUAAAGUAUUAAAGAUUUUUUUUAAAAAA
Molecule: long non-coding RNA, 1250 nt
Organism: Passer montanus (Eurasian tree sparrow)
Lineage: Eukaryota; Metazoa; Chordata; Aves; Passeriformes; Passeridae
Exons: 2
Source: RefSeq, a predicted model, not a curated record